GACGAACGCUGGCGGCGUGCUUAACACAUGCAAGUCGAACGGUAAGGCCCUUCGGGGUACACGAGUGGCGAACGGGUGAGUAACACGUGGGUGAUCUGCCCUGCACUUCGGGAUAAGCCUGGGAAACUGGGUCUAAUACCGGAUAGGACUCCGGACUGCAUGGUCUGGGGUGGAAAGCUUUUGCGGUGUGGGAUGGGCCCGCGGCCUAUCAGCUUGUUGGUGGGGUGAUGGCCCACCAAGGCGACGACGGGUAGCCGGCCUGAGAGGGUGACCGGCCACACGGGGACUGAGAUACGGCCCAGACUCCGACGGGAGGCUGCAGUGGGGAAUAUUGCACAAUGGGCGCAAGCCUGAUGCAGCGACGCCGCGUGAGGGAUGACGGCCUUCGGGUUGUAAACCUCUUUCAGCAUCGACGAAGCGAAAGUGACGGUAGGUGCAGAAGAAGGACCGGCCAACUACGUGCCAGCCGCCGCAGUAA
RNAcentral lists this ribosomal RNA (478 nucleotides) under uncultured bacterium. RNAcentral describes it as "partial 16S ribosomal RNA". It matches the Rfam family "Bacterial small subunit ribosomal RNA", at positions 28 to 523 of the family's 1533-position model. The record is from RNAcentral.